GGAGGUAGUGACAAUAAAUCACAAUGCGGGACUUUUAGUUUUGCAAUUGGAUUGAGAACAAUGUAAAAGAGUUAUCGAUAAACAAUUGGAGGGCAAGUCUGGUGCCAGCAGCCGCGGUAAUUCCAGCUCCAAUAGCGUAUAUUAACGUUGUUGCAGUUAAAAAGCUCGUAGUUGAAGUGUGGGGUGAAAAGUUGGUUGUUUCUUUGAAAUGGCUGUCUGCUUACCCCCUCUCCAAUGUGUUAUUAUGGGUAUUAAUUUACUUGUAAUAGCUAUUGGUCAUUUACUGUGAGAAAAUUAGAGUGUUCAAAGCAGGCAUUUGCUUGAAUAUAUUAGCAUGGAAUAAUAGUAAAAGGCUUUUGUGGUCGAUUUAAUUGGUUUGUUCAUAAAAGCAAGAUUAAUAGGGACAGUUGGGGGUAUUCAUAUUCAAUAGUUAGAGGUGAAAUUCUCGGAUUUAUGGAAGAUGAACAAGUGCGAAAGCA
Molecule: ribosomal RNA, 479 nt
Filed under: Blastocystis sp.
Lineage: Eukaryota; Bigyra; Opalinata; Blastocystidae
Description: SSU rRNA
Rfam family: Eukaryotic small subunit ribosomal RNA
Source: RNAcentral